RNAcentral lists this ribosomal RNA (253 nucleotides) under uncultured bacterium. RNAcentral describes it as "partial 16S ribosomal RNA". It matches the Rfam family "Bacterial small subunit ribosomal RNA", at positions 524 to 776 of the family's 1533-position model. The record is from RNAcentral.
UACGUAGGAUGCAAGCGUUGUCCGGUUUUAUUGGGUUUAGAGGGGGCGUAGGCGGCGUAUUAAGUUCUUGGUGAAAACGUUCGGCUUAACCGGAUACCCGCCAUUGAUACUGAUAGACUUGAGUGCGACAGAGGGUGUUGGAAUGUGUGGUGUAGCGGUGAAAUGCUUAGAUAUCACGCAGAACACCAAUUGCGAAGGCAGAUGCCUAUGUCGUAAUUGACGCUGAGGCACGAAAGCGUGGGGAGCAAACAGG